RNAcentral lists this ribosomal RNA (442 nucleotides) under uncultured bacterium. Its description in RNAcentral is "partial 16S ribosomal RNA". It matches the Rfam family "Bacterial small subunit ribosomal RNA", at positions 338 to 795 of the family's 1533-position model. The record is from RNAcentral.
CCUACGGGAGGCAGCAGUAGGGAAUCUUUCACAAUGGGCGAAAGCCUGAUGGAGCAACGCCGCGUGCAGGAGGAAGGCCUUCGGGUUGUAAACUGCUUUUAUAAGCGAGGAAUAUGAUGGUAACUUAUGAAUAAGGAUCGGCUAACUACGUGCCAGCAGCCGCGGUCAUACGUAGGAUCCGAGCAUUAUCCGGAGUGACUGGGUGUAAAGAGUUGCGUAGGUGGCAUAAUAAGUAGCUAGUGAAAUCUGGUGGCUCAACCAUUCAGACUAUUAGCGAAACUGUUAAGCUCGAGACCGUGAGGGGUAAGUGGAAUUGCUAGUGUAGGAGUGAAAUGCGUAGAUAUUAGAAGGAACACCGAUAGCGUAGGCAGGUUGCUGGUACGGAUCUGACACUAAGGCACGAAAGCGUAGGGAGCAAACGGGAUUAGAUACCCUAGUAGUC